GUUUGAAUGGUCGCAUCAUGGCGGCACAUCCUCUUGGGCGACUUUAACUCGCCCGCCAAUGUGGCAGUGCGCCCAUGUUUGAAUGAUCGCAUCAUGGCGGCUCGUCCUCUUGGGAGACUUUAAAAUCUCCAGCCAAUGAGGCAAGGCACCCAUGUUUGAACGGUCGCAUCAUGGUGGCUCGUCCUCUUGGGCGACUUUAAAUCUUUCACCAAUGAGGCAGUAGCCCCCAGGACCUGGUUAUCUUUCCUGUAAUGACCCGGGGUUCUUGAAUUGUUCAGCCUAGUUGAAUCUGCUGAGCCAUGUCUGUGUAGCCCCUCAGUCUUAAGUCGACUCAAGGAGGCGGCUUGAGAGUCUCCAUACUUGACUGUGGCAUAAGCCGGCGUAAGGUUGACGGCUCAAUGAUGG
Molecule: long non-coding RNA, 405 nt
Filed under: Hordeum vulgare
Lineage: Eukaryota; Viridiplantae; Streptophyta; Magnoliopsida; Poales; Poaceae
Description: long non-coding RNA (HVUL_LNC011989)
Source: RNAcentral